Equus caballus (horse) is the source of this 735-nucleotide non-coding RNA. NCBI's taxonomy places the organism in Eukaryota, Metazoa, Chordata, Mammalia, Perissodactyla, Equidae. The record is from RefSeq and is a predicted model, not a curated record.
GGUUAUUCUUCAGUAUCCAUGUUUGUUGGCCUGUUUGCUUUUAUUAGGUAUUUAUUUUGUGGUGGUAACAUUUACAUAACAGUGACGUGCACGGGUUGUAAGAGCACAGCUCAGUGAAUUUUCACCUAGUUAUGCGCCUGUGUAAUCACCAUCCAGAUCGAGAUAUAGCAAGUUUCUAGCCCUUUAGAAGGCUCCCACGUGCCCUUGCCUGCCCCAGUCAACACUUGGCCGAAGGUAACUGCUGGACUAACCUCUACCAUCACAGAACCAGAUGCUUUAUAGGCCGUAAAUCUGUGAGCAGAUGACCACACUCCUGCGCAGACAGCUGAGAUCUCUCACCCAAGGGCUCUGUACACAAGUAUAGCCUUUCAUGCAUCGUGGGAGCCGGCUGUGGGGGAUGGGAGGAGGAGGAAAAACCUGCCUGGGCGGGACUGCCAUCUGCUCAACACCGUGAAGAGGCUCUCAGGACUCCCAGGGGUGGAUGCUCUUGGCACACUACAGGUGUGAAGUACAGUGAAUAAGGAAUUACCUGGUAGCACGGAAGUAUGAACAUCUGAAUUAGGUGGUCCGGGUGACAGAGCUCUGAGAACAGUGAUGCACUUUGCCAGUAAACGUGAAAGACAUAUGGGACAGAGACUUCAGCUACAGGCAAGAAGCCUGGGCGUCCUAUGCAACCCUCAGCUGUAUGUAACCCAGCCUACUCCAAUAUGAAGCCAGCAAAGCCCCUGCAGAAAU